Molecule: ribosomal RNA, 253 nt
Filed under: uncultured bacterium
Lineage: Bacteria
Description: partial 16S ribosomal RNA
Rfam family: Bacterial small subunit ribosomal RNA
Source: RNAcentral
UACGUAGGGUGCGAGCGUUAAUCGGAAUUACUGGGCGUAAAGGGUUCGCAGGCGGCGUCGCAAGUCAGGCGUGAAAUCCCCGGGCUUAACCUGGGAACUGCACUUGAAACUACGAUGCUGGAGUAUGGCAGAGGGAGGUGGAAUUCCACGUGUAGCGGUGAAAUGCGUAGAGAUGUGGAGGAACACCGAUGGCGAAGGCAGCCUCCUGGGCCAAUACUGACGCUCAUGCACGAAAGCGUGGGGAGCAAACAGG